RNAcentral lists this long non-coding RNA (1551 nucleotides) under Pogona vitticeps (central bearded dragon). Its description in RNAcentral is "lncRNA (ENSPVIG00000012332.1)". The record is from RNAcentral. Lineage: Eukaryota; Metazoa; Chordata; Lepidosauria; Squamata; Agamidae.
UAAAGCAGUAAAAGGGACAUGAUGGCGCUGCGGGUUAAAACGCCGAAGCCUCUGCGCUGCAAAGUCAGAAGACCUGCAGUCGUAAGUUCGAAUCCACGCAAUGGAGUGAACCCCUGUCGCCUGUCCCAUCUCACACCAACCUAGUGGUUCGAAAGCAUGAAAAAUGAAAAAAUGCGAGUAGAUGGUGGAAAGGUAAACGGCAUUCCGUGUCUAGUCACGCUGGCCAUGUGACCACGGAGGAUUGUCUUCGGACAAACGCUAGCUCUAUGGGUUGGAAACGGAGAUGAGUACCGCUGCCUAGAGUCAGACAUGACCGGAUAAAUUGUCAAGGGGAACCUUUACCUUUUAAAGUAAAAUUUUGUAUCUUUCUCUAUGGCAAUGUAUGGCUUCCGUUUUGGUGAUGUGUAAUGGGUUGCCUGAGGGUAUUCUUGUGAAAAAUGGAAGAGCUCCAUUCAUUUCCAUGAGCCACGCUAGGAGGAGCUAUCAUUCAAAGAUAGCUCUUCCUUCAGCCUCCAGGAUCAGUGGCACCAGGAUGCGUGCAUGAGCACUGUAAUAUUUCAGCAGACAUUUUUAAUAGCUCAAUAUCAGUAGUGCUGACCAUUAGUCACAUUCUUUCCCCACCUACAAAAAAAGGCAGGACAAUCUCUGGAGUGAGGGUGGGUGUUUCAAAAUGUGAAAAUCAAGCUCUCCACAGAGGAGAAGUUGCUCCGUUCUUGACUUCUCAAGAGACAAUUCAAGGGGCACAGCGUUGGUCUGAGGGUGCCAGGGGGCUACAAAUGGCUCAGAUUUGGCUACUUGCAUCCUGUGUUUUCUUCUGUCUCACAUUAGGAGAUGCUGUGCUCUGUCGGCAGUGUUAUACUCUGAGACCAUGGAUUCCAUGCGCCCCCAGUAAAGGAACAUGUGCUGCUACAACAAAUGAAAUGCUUUGUAUGAGCCUGAAAGUCUAUAAAGAUUUUGAGCUCUGGCAGCAAAUCAUGACCUGCACAAAGGUAGAUGACGACAAGUGUGAUGACUGGCAUUUCGACGAUGCGACGGGGAAGAUGUUUGCCUACAGCUGCUGCUCCAAUAAAAACUACUGCAAUGAAGAAGCGUAAUGCAACACAGCUGUACAGCUCCCUAUUUUUGCACUUCUAUUACGUCUCUCUUCUACAUAUACAGUGUAUAGUAUUUUAACAAGAAUUAAUGACUCCUCUAUUUCUGCUAGUUGGGUUGUCUGUUUUAUUUAUAGCCUGUUUCCCCCCCUGAUAAGGGGACCGAAGGUGGCUCACAAUAUUAAAAAGAAUAUAAUUAAAAAUGGAAUAAGUUAAACAUUAAAAAACCAAUUUAAAUAAUCUGUACAUCCAGGCCUUCCCUCCAGUCAAUACCUGAUUUCUUUUCUAUUCCUUCUUAUUUUAUUCUCACUCUAUUUUAUUGUAACUGUAUCAAAUGAUUAUGUAAUGUUCUUGUGUUUUAUUAUUUCAUCCUAUACUGGAAGCCGCCUAGAGUGGUCGAGUAGACCAGAUUGGCAGGGUAUAAAUCAAAUAAAUAAAUAAAUAAAUAAAAUAAUUAACA